UCCUUUUGGAACUGGUGCUGGCGACCGGCGAACGGGUGAGUAACGCGUGAGCAACCUACCUCGAGGAGGGGGAUAACCCGGGGAAACCCGGGCUAAUACCCCAUAAGCGCACGGCCUGCAUGGGCUGUGUGAAAAGGUGGCCUCUGCAUAGCAAGCUGCCGCCUCGGGAUGGGCUCGCGUCCCAUCAGGUAGUUGGUGAGGUAACGGCUCACCAAGCCUACGACGGGUAGCCGGCCUGAGAGGGUGGUCGGCCACACCGGGACUGAGACACGGCCCGGACUCCUACGGGAGGCAGCAGUAGGGAAUCCUGGGCAAUGGGCGAAAGCCUGACCCAGCGACGCCGAGUGGAGGAAGAAGCCCUUCGGGGUGUAAACUCCUGUCGCCGGGGACGAGGCGGGAGCGGGUUAAGAGCCUGCUCCCGU
This 422-nucleotide ribosomal RNA is filed under the name uncultured bacterium. RNAcentral's name for it is "bacterial SSU rRNA". It matches the Rfam family "Bacterial small subunit ribosomal RNA", at positions 76 to 482 of the family's 1533-position model. The record is from RNAcentral.